AAUAAGCAUCGGCUAACUCCCGUGCCAGCAGCCGCGGUAAUACGGAGGAUGCAAGCGUUAUCCCGGAUUUAUUGGGUUUAAAGGGUGCGUAGGUGGUUCUGUAAGUCAGCGGUGAAAUUUUUCCGCUUAACGGGAAAAUUGCCGUUGAAACUGCAAGACUUGAGAGCGGACAAGGUAUGCGGAAUUCGUAGUGUAGCGGUGAAAUGCAUAGAUAUUACGAAGAACCCCGAUAGCGUAGGCAGCAUACCGGGGCGCGUCUGACACUGAAGCACGAAAGUGUGGGUAUCAAACAGGAUUAGAUACCCUGGUAGUCCACACAGUAAACGAUGAAUACUGACUGUUUGCGAUACACAGUAAGCGGUUCAGCGAAAGCGUUAAGUAUUCCACCUGGGGAGUACGCCGGCAACGGUGAAACUCAAAGGAAUUGACGGGGGCCCGCACAAGCGGAGGAACAUGUGGUUUAAUUCGAUGAUACGCGAGGAACCUUACCCGGGCUCGAACGGCGGAUGAAUACAGGUGAAAGCUUGUAGUCGCAAGACAUCUGUCGAGGUGCUGCAUGGUUGUCGUCAGCUCGUGCCGUGAGGUGUCGGCUUAAGUGCCAUAACGAGCGCAACCCUUACCGUUAGUUACCAUCAGGUAAAGCUGGGGACUCUAGCGGGACUGCCACCGUAAGGUGCGAGGAAGGUGGGGAUGACGUCAAAUCAGCACGGCCCUUACGUCCGGGGCGACACACGUGUUACAAUGGGGGGGACAGAAGGCAGCUACUCGGCGACGAGAUGCCAAUCCCUAAACCCUCUCCCGGUUCGGAUCGGAGUCUGCAACCCGACUCCGUGAAGCCGGAUUCGCUAGUAAUCGCGCAUCAGCCAUGGCGCGGUGAAUACGUUCCCGGGCCUUGUACACACCGCCCGUCAAGCCAUGGGAGCCGGGGGUACCUGAAGUACGUAACCGCGAGGAGCGUCCUAGGGUAAAACUGGUGACCGGGGCU
RNAcentral lists this ribosomal RNA (985 nucleotides) under uncultured Bacteroidota bacterium. RNAcentral's name for it is "bacterial SSU rRNA". It matches the Rfam family "Bacterial small subunit ribosomal RNA", at positions 485 to 1482 of the family's 1533-position model. The record is from RNAcentral. Lineage: Bacteria; Pseudomonadati; Bacteroidota.